RNAcentral lists this ribosomal RNA (453 nucleotides) under uncultured bacterium. Its description in RNAcentral is "bacterial SSU rRNA". It matches the Rfam family "Bacterial small subunit ribosomal RNA", at positions 1 to 507 of the family's 1533-position model. The record is from RNAcentral.
CACGUAGUUGAUCAUGGCUCAAGAACGAACGCUGGCGGCAUGCCUAACACAUGCAAGUCGAACGAGACCUUCGGGUCUAGUGGCGCACGGGUGCGUAACACGUGGGAAUUUGCCGUCGGGGUAUGGAAUAACUCAGGGAAACUUGAGCUAAUACCAUAUAAUGUCUUCGGACCAAAGAUUAUCGCCUUAGAUGGGCCCGCGUUGGAUUAGCUAGUUGGUGGGUAAAGGCCUACCAAGGCGACGAUCCAUAGCUGGUCUGAGAGGAUGAUCAGCCACACUGGGACUGAGACACGGCCCAGACUCCUACGGGAGGCAGCAGUGGGGAAUAUUGGACAAUGGGCGAAAGCCUGAUCCAGCAAUGCCGCGUGAGUGAUGAAGGCCUUAGGGUUGUAAAGCUCUUUACCCGAGAUGAUAAUGACAGUAUCGGGAGAAUAAGCUCCGGCUAACUACGUG